This 86-nucleotide ribosomal RNA is filed under the name Chordata environmental sample. RNAcentral's name for it is "partial 12S ribosomal RNA". The record is from RNAcentral. Lineage: Eukaryota; Metazoa; Chordata.
GCUUAGCCCUAAACACAGAUAAUUACAUAAACAAAUUAUUUGCCAGAGUACUACCAGCAACAGCUUAAACUCAAAGGACUUGGCGG